CCUACGGGGUGCUGCAGUGAGGAAUAUUGGUCAAUGGACGAGAGUCUGAACCAGCCAAGUAGCGUGAAGGAUGACUGCCCUAUGGGUUGUAAACUUCUUUUAUAUGGGAAUAAAACGUUCCACGUGUGGGAUUUUGUAUGUACCAUAUGAAUAAGGAUCGACUAACUCCGUGCCAGCAGCCGCGGUAAUACCGAGGAUCCGAGCGUUAUCCGGAUUUAUUGGGUUUAAAGGGAGCGUAGGUGGAUUGUUAAGUCAGUUGUGAAAGUUUGCGGCUCAACCGUAAAAUUGCAGUUGAAACUGGCAGUCUUGAGUACAGUAGAGGUGGGCGGAAUUCGUGGUGUAGCGGUGAAAUGCUUAGAUAUCACGAAGAACUCCGAUUGCGAAGGCAGUUCACUGGACUGCAACUGACACUGAGGCUCGAAAGUGUGGGUAUCAAACAGGAUUAGAUACCCGGGUAGUC
This 460-nucleotide ribosomal RNA is filed under the name uncultured bacterium. Its description in RNAcentral is "partial 16S ribosomal RNA". It matches the Rfam family "Bacterial small subunit ribosomal RNA", at positions 338 to 795 of the family's 1533-position model. The record is from RNAcentral.